UACAGAGGGGGCAAGCGUUAUCCGGAAUUAUUGGGCGUAAAGAGCUCGUAGGCGGUUUGUCGCGUCUGCCGUGAAAGUCCGGGGCUCAACUCCGGAUCUGCGGUGGGUACGGGCAGACUAGAGUGAUGUAGGGGAGACUGGAAUUCCUGGUGUAGCGGUGAAAUGCGCAGAUAUCAGGAGGAACACCUAUAGCGAAGGCAGCUUGCUGGGACGUUACUGACGCUAAGGCGCGAAAGCGUGGGGAGCGAACAGG
Molecule: ribosomal RNA, 253 nt
Filed under: uncultured bacterium
Lineage: Bacteria
Description: partial 16S ribosomal RNA
Rfam family: Bacterial small subunit ribosomal RNA
Source: RNAcentral